GCUAGAUGGCACUGAGCGUACAGCCCUGGAUAUGAAUGGAACCUCAGUAGUCUUGGGGAGACUUUACUGGGGGACACUGGCAGUGGAAGAUAAAUGCUGUGUUUCCAGCGUGAAGAUUUGGGGCCACCCUGGCCCCUCCAGAUGAGGUGCAGACUUCAGCUCUGCUGGAAGGUGAGCACCCCAGGUGACCCACACAGCAGACCCAGACCCAGCAGCACAGCCCAGAGUGCCUCAGGGGAGGGAGCUGUGGUACCCAGAGAACAGUGUGGGCACAGGGGGCUCAGGGUGUCCAGCACUCCAGGUCUGUGGCCAGCAGGCUUCUCCUGGCCUGGGGCAGCAGCCACCCUCCGACGCUCCCUCCUGAGUGGAAAUUCCAUCCAACUCAGCUACUCCCUGUCUAGGUGGCUUCCAGAAAGAGUCAGAAGACGCAUUACCGUGGUUGGUACUUACCCAUAGCAGCACAGCCCAUAGUAGCAAAAUCUUGGAAACAGCCUAUAUGCCCAGAAACAGAUGAAUGGAAAAAGAAAAUUUGUUUUUUCUAUACCAAGGAGUAUGACUUUGCCAUGAAGAAGGAUUUCAAGUCAUUGGUAGGAAAAGAGUGCACUUCGAGACCAUAAAGUCAGCUGGAAUAAAUAAACCAGACACACAGGCUUAAAUAGUGAACAACUUCUCUCUUAUGAGAAACUCAAAGUAUAAAUCAUUUUUAAAAACAAAAUAAAAGAUUGAAGAUAGAAAAUGGGAAGAUAGAUCCCCUGCAAAAGAGAUGGGACCAAGGGGUGGAGGGGCGGGGAAGGGAGGAAGAAAGAAUGGAGAUGUGCUAUGUAUUUGUACCGACUCGCCGCAAUGGAUGAAGCGGUCACAAAGUACUGCAAAGAUGUGCUCAUAAAAUAAAAAUUAAAAAUAAAGGGACCAGGAGGGUGUGGGGCCUUUCUGUGAACUGGAGCCCCGUGAGCACGUGGGUGUGCCCCGCAGGGACGAUCACAGGCUCCUGGACGACCCAUGUCUUCGGGCAACGGAGCUUCACAGAGCAUCGUGGACGCGGGCUCUUCCGGCUUAGAGGCAGGGACGAACCCCGGAGACAUGCGGAGCUCCCGCUGGCGCGAGCGUGGAGAUACCGCUCCAAGUGUGGACGUGGCCGGUUGGAGAGGCAACUCUGAGGCUGUCAGCACCGCGUCUGUGGCCUCACAAUCAUCAGCGCCUCAAAGUGGAGAAAGAGCCGAAAGGACAGCUGCUCCCCGAUAUGUCCCAGCAAGCAACCGCCCGGGCUCUCGGGGCACCCGGAGGUGGGAGGGGUGGAAGAGCCUGCUGGUUCUGGGCUCCACUGAGCACCGCUCAAAUCAGGGGCUGCCUGCUCUCCUCACCCGGCUCUGCUUCAGAGGCCAGAGCGACCCGAUGCAGCCCUGGAUGGGGCUUUCCGGCCCUUUCUGGACACGGAACGUGGAUUUCAGCAAAUCAGUGCUCCUCGGAAAGGGAAUCCCACCAUUUAAAGUGUGGAUAAGCAUAAUGUUGCUGUUAGGGUGUCCCAUAAAGAAAACGCAUUUACUCAUCUUGGGAUUGUUUUAAUGACUAUAAUUUAUGUGUGUAUGAAUAAACAGACCCAGACCACAUCAGGCUCUUUGUAAGAAACUUGUCAUUUAGAUGAAAAUUGCUGUUGCUAGUUUUGCAAAUAGUUUGAGAAUGAAUAAUGGCUGUCAGAGAAAUACACACCCUCCUUAUGCUCUUGGCACCCCGCGGUAAAAAGUGUGUGUGUAAUUCGUGCUGCCAUUAAAUGCUACUUUUUCUCAUGGUUCCUGUUUUUAAAUGUUUACUGUAAUUCAGAACUGGUUAAUUGGAUGAUAAUUCAUUUGGGGCCACUUGAGAUGUAAAAGUGCCCUGAGAUCAGUGUAGGCCCAGCUGGCACGAGCUGUGGAUCAGGCGUGGGGGUAUGGAGAGCGAGGGGCUGUGUGCAGGGAGGUGCGGCGUUUUCUGGACCCUGAUUGGCUGCACCAUGAUGGGGGCAGUCUGUAGUCUGUCUGUCUCCCCUGUUGCGGGGUGGGGAUAUCAGGAUUAGAGCUGCCACGAUCUAUCAACACUCAAGCAAACUCACCACCGGAUCCAUUCACGGGAGGCCACGUGGCCAGCUUGGUGCCUCACGGCAGAGGCAAGUGGACGGAAUCCCGUGUGGACGGUGACAGCCCCACUCGACAGGACAGAUGGACCUUGUUAAUCAAGCUCCCUGGAACGUGGUCUCUGCACAGGGGGACGCUACUGUGUGGUGACACCUAUUCUGCGUAGAUGGACCUUGUUAAUCAAGCUCCCUGGAACGUGGUCUCUGCACAGGGGGACGCUACUGUGUGCUUCUGUGUGGUGACACCUAUUCUGCACCUCGAUGCCUCUUUCUAGAAGACCCUUUGGGGUGCCCACCCUAAAGGCAGGGUCAGCAUGCGGCUGGUCACAGGCCACCAUGUCGGAGCACUGCCUGGUGGGGACACAAAGGUCUCCUCUCCUUCCUUCAGACCCCUGGGUUGAAGAUGAUCUCCCCGAUUUGAGGAGAAGAAACUAAGGCUGAGGUUGGAGGACACAAGUUUACCCAGGGCAUCUCACGUCUGCCAGCCACAGUCACAUCACAGGAUUUUUAAAGGGAUGCUCAGUCUCAUGACCAAAUUUGGCACAUCUGUCCUUGUUUUAGAGAAAUCUGCAAAAAGCCUUCCUCAUAGAGAGUGUGAUACUUAACUGUGCUGUGCACUUGAAGAAGAGCGAUCAGUGGAUGGGCUGAGCACCGUCCAGGUCGUGCAUGAUGGGUGGACCAGACCAGCCUGGGUACCAACCAGCAGGCUGUUGUGUCUUGGAUGGAAUAAUAGGGAAAAGACGGAAGAUUCCCUCUGCUUCUCCGGGGGAGCUCCGGUCUUUGCCAUCACCCCUGCAGUCCAUCUCCAGGCUUCCAGCUCAGACGACUCCCGCAGGACUCUGCAGGCAGCUCCGGGCCUCCUGCUUCUUUGGCCUUCAAUUUUGACUGGGUUCACAGUUCCCCACGGUCAGAGGACCCUUGUUGUGAGCCAGCGACACAGAGUACUGGCCAGCAGUGUCUCAAACCUGAAAGAGCAGCGGGGUGGAGAUGGGGCAGAGAGAAAGGAAGGACGCCAAGACAAGAGUCUGAUCAAGGCGACGUUUAUUGCAGGCAGGCAUCAGCCUUUUAAAGGAAAAGACCGAACUAUUAUGGGCUGGGAUUACCAUAGUAACCUCAACACCCACUCCACGGGAACGAGGGUUCACACGGGCAAGAGAAAGCAGGCUCAAGAAAAACAAAUUAACAACACUUGCAACUAAUAAUCAUGAUUCCCAAAUAGGUGGAGGAACUUAACAAAAUGGAGUUACAACACCUGACUCCUACAGAUAACGUCAGAUCUUUAACAGGAAGCACCUGACUCCUACAGCUCUUUGGCUGUCCGAGUUUCUCCCGUGCAGGAUCAAAAACAAGUUUAACACGUGCAGUCCUUAAAAAGGAACAAAUGUUAUCUUUCAAAAACCAGUGGGCCAUGGCUGGCUUCCCACAGACCCUGAUGGUUUCUUCCACCCCA
RNAcentral lists this long non-coding RNA (3557 nucleotides) under Fukomys damarensis (Damara mole-rat). Its description in RNAcentral is "lncRNA (ENSFDAG00000022522.1)". Lineage: Eukaryota; Metazoa; Chordata; Mammalia; Rodentia; Bathyergidae. The record is from RNAcentral.